RNAcentral lists this transfer RNA (63 nucleotides) under Aristobia reticulator. RNAcentral's name for it is "tRNA-His". The record is from RNAcentral. Lineage: Eukaryota; Metazoa; Arthropoda; Insecta; Coleoptera; Cerambycidae.
AUUCAAAUAGUUUAAAAAAAAUAUUGAUUUGUGGAGUCAGAGAUAUAAUUAUUAUUUUGAAUA